Molecule: ribosomal RNA, 1330 nt
Filed under: Prymnesium polylepis
Lineage: Eukaryota; Haptophyta; Prymnesiales; Prymnesiaceae
Description: partial Bacterial large subunit ribosomal RNA
Rfam family: Bacterial large subunit ribosomal RNA
Source: RNAcentral
CGUGAGGGAAAGGUGAAAAGAACCGUGAAUAACGGAGUGAAAGAGAUCCUGAAACCAUACGCCUACAAGCGGUCGGAGCCCUUUGGGGUGACGGCGUGCCUUUUGCAUAAUGAGCCUACGAGUUACUUUUACUGGCAAGGUUAAGCACUUCAGGUGCGCAGCCGUAGCGAAAGCGAGUCUGAACAGGGCGCCACAGUCAGUAGUAGUAGACGCGAAACCGUGCGAUCUACCCAUGGGCAGGUUGAAGCUGUGGUAACACACAGUGGAGGACCGAACCCGUUGACGUUGAAAAGUCUUGGGAUGACCUGUGGGUAGGGGUGAAAGGCCAAUCAAACUCCGUGAUAGCUGGUUCUCCCCGAAAUGCAUUUAGGUGCAGCGUUCUGAUAGUUAUAUAGAGGUAGAGCUACUGAUUGGAUGCGGGGGCUUCACCGCCUACCAAUUCCUGACAAACUCCGAAUGCUAUAUAAUGUUUCAGGGCAGUGAGGGCAUGGGUGCUAAGGUCCAUGUCCGAGAGGGAAAGAACCCGGACCAUCAGCUAAGGUCCCCAAGUGUGUGCUAAGUUGACAAAACGCGGUGGAACUGCAUAGACAGCCAGGAUGUUGGCUUGGAAGCAGCCAUUCAUUUAAAGAGUGCGUAACAGCUCACUGGUCGAGCGGUUCCGCAUGGAUAAUGAUCGGGCAUAAGCACACCACCGAAGCUAUGGCUUUACAGUUUACUGUAAGGGGUAGGGGAGCAUUCCAUUCUGCGUUGAAGCGGGCCUGCGAGGUCCCGUGGAGCGUAUGGAAACGAAAAUGUAGGCAUAAGUAACGAUAAUGUGGGCGAGAAACCCACACGCCGAAAGACCAAGGUUUCCCCGGCUAUGCUAAUCAGCCGGGGGUCAGUCGGGACCUAACACGAACCCGAAAGGGGCAGUGGAUGGACAAGCGGUUAAUAUUCCGCUACCCGCAAUACGAUAAAAGUGACGGGGCACCGGAGUUGGUGCGCACAGACGGAAUUGUGCGUUGAACCUUCGGGGAUAGUACACCAAGGCCACGGCCGCGGUGAUAAUCCAGCGUAGGUGCCUCCAAGAAAAGCGAGUAUUGCGGCCCGUACCGUAAACCGACACAGGUGGUCGGGAUGAGUAUUCUAAGGCGCUCGAGAGAUUCAUGGUUAAGGAACUAGGCAAAAUAGACCCGUAACUUCGGGAGAAGGGUCGCCCCCUUUGGGGGGCCGCAGUGAAUAGGUCCAGGCGACUGUUUAUCAAAAACACAGGGCUCUGCCAAAUCGAAAGAUGAAGUAUAGGGCCUGACACCUGCCCGGUGCCGGAAGGUUAAAAGGAGGAGUGCAAGCU